GGUCUUGGUCGGGAAACG
This 18-nucleotide small nuclear RNA is filed under the name Arabidopsis thaliana (thale cress). RNAcentral's name for it is "snRNA_18058". The record is from RNAcentral. Lineage: Eukaryota; Viridiplantae; Streptophyta; Magnoliopsida; Brassicales; Brassicaceae.